UACGGAAGGCAGCAGGGGGAAUAUUGCACAAUGGGCGCAAGCCUGAUGCAGCCAUGCCGCGUGUAUGAAGAAGGCCUUCGGGUUGUAAAGUACUUUCAGUCGUGAGGAAGGUGUUAAGGUUAAUAACCUUAGCAAUUGACGUUAGCGACAGAAGAAGCACCGGCUAACUCCGUGCCAGCAGCCGCGGUAAUACGGAGGGUGCGAGCGUUAAUCGGAAUUACUGGGCGUAAAGGGCACGCAGGCGGUUAAUUAAGUUGGAUGUGAAAUCCCCGGGCUUAACCUGGGAAUGGCAUUCAAGACUGGUUAGCUAGAGUCUUGUAGAGGGGGUAGAAUUCCAUGUGUAGCGGUGAAAUGCGUAGAGAUGUGGAGGAAUACCGGUGGCGAAGGCGGCCCCUGGACAAAGACUGACGCUCAUGUGCGAAAGCGUGGGGAGCAAACGAGGGAUUAGAUAC
RNAcentral lists this ribosomal RNA (452 nucleotides) under uncultured bacterium. RNAcentral describes it as "bacterial SSU rRNA". It matches the Rfam family "Bacterial small subunit ribosomal RNA", at positions 340 to 785 of the family's 1533-position model. The record is from RNAcentral.